RNAcentral lists this ribosomal RNA (285 nucleotides) under Triticum aestivum (bread wheat). RNAcentral's name for it is "partial small subunit ribosomal RNA". The record is from RNAcentral. Lineage: Eukaryota; Viridiplantae; Streptophyta; Magnoliopsida; Poales; Poaceae.
AUGAACGUGGCGCUCAUGCUUCGUUGGGUUUGGCAGAUCUUAAGGGGAGAUGGAGGUUUGUGGCUGCAGCUGAUUGAGUCCAAGUACCUAUAGGGCCAGCCCCUCUUGGCUUGCUCGCUCUCGGCUGGGUCCCGGUUUUGGAAAUCUAUCCAGGACAUCAAGGAGGAGAUUAGGCUAGGUUUGCGGUUCUCGGUUGGUAAUGGGUCCAGGACCCAGUUUUGGUUGGCCCCCUGGCUUGAUGGGGAGCCUCUCCACAUGCGGUUUCCGAGGCUCUGCGAUUUGUGA